Molecule: ribosomal RNA, 301 nt
Filed under: uncultured bacterium
Lineage: Bacteria
Description: partial 16S ribosomal RNA
Rfam family: Bacterial small subunit ribosomal RNA
Source: RNAcentral
CAGCAGCCACGGGAAUACAGAGGGUGCGAGCGUUAAUCGGAUUUACUGGGCGUAAAGCGUGCGUAGGCGGCUUUUUAAGUCGGAUGUGAAAUCCCUGAGCUUAACUUAGGAAUUGCAUUCGAUACUGGGAAGCUAGAGUAUGGGAGAGGAUGGUAGAAUUCCAGGUGUAGCGGUGAAAUGCGUAGAGAUCUGGAGGAAUACCGAUGGCGAAGGCAGCCAUCUGGCCUAAUACUGACGCUGAGGCGCGAAAGCGUGGGGAGCAAACAGGAUUAGAUACCCGUGUAGUCCCUGUCUCUUAUAC